Molecule: ribosomal RNA, 867 nt
Filed under: Pseudoasteromassaria aquatica
Lineage: Eukaryota; Fungi; Ascomycota; Dothideomycetes; Pleosporales; Latoruaceae
Description: Pseudoasteromassaria sp. WD-2020a partial large subunit ribosomal RNA
Rfam family: Eukaryotic large subunit ribosomal RNA
Source: RNAcentral
GGGAUUGCCUUAGUAACGGCGAGUGAAGCGGCAAUAGCUCAAAUUUGAAAUCUGGCUCUCUCUGAAAGCCCGAGUUGUAAUUUGCAGAGGGUGCUUUGGCUUUGAAAGCGGUCUAAGUUCCUUGGAACAGGACAUCACAGAGGGUGAGAAUCCCGUAUGUGGUCGCUAUUCAUUGCUGUGUAAAGCCCCUUCGACGAGUCGAGUUGUUUGGGAAUGCAGCUCUAAAUGGGAGGUAAAUUUCUUCUAAAGCUAAAUACUGGCCAGAGACCGAUAGCGCACAAGUAGAGUGAUCGAAAGAUGAAAAGCACUUUGGAAAGAGAGUCAAAUAGCACGUGAAAUUGUUGAAAGGGAAGCGCUUGCAGCCAGACUUGCCUGCUGUUGCUCAUCUAAGCUUUUGCUUAGAGCAUUCAACUGCAGGCAGGCCAGCAUCAGUUUGGGCGGCCGGAUAAAGACCUCUGUCACGUAUCUUCCUUCGGGAUGACCUUAUAGGGGAGGUGUAACACGGCCAGUCUGGAUUGAGGUUCGCGCAUCUGCUAGGAUGCUGGCGUAAUGGCUGUAAGCGGCCCGUCUUGAAACACGGACCAAGGAGUCUAACAUCUAUGCGAGUGUUUGGGUGUCAAGCCCGGGCGCGUAAUGAAAGUGAACGGAGGUGGGAACCCUCUCUGGGGGUGCACCAUCGACCGAUCCUGAUGUCUUCGGAUGGAUUUGAGUAAGAGCAUAGCUGUUGGGACCCGAAAGAUGGUGAACUAUGCUUGAAUAGGGUGAAGCCAGAGGAAACUCUGGUGGAGGCUCGCAGCGGUUCUGACGUGCAAAUCGAUCGUCAAAUUUGGGCAUAGGGGCGAAAGACUAAUCGAACUAUCUAGUAGC